AGUAGCACAAUGGAGUGUAUGUGAAAUGAAGUGCCAGAUUUAACAAAAAGAAAAUGAACAAGAUGAAAGCAAAAACUCUAACUUUCUUUGUAAGGCAUCCCCAAGAAUUCACAUCCAUAUUGAAUGAAUUAAACUAAAAGACAUUCCAGAAGAACAAAUGUUUAUGAGAAGGUGAUUUCAUGAAUAUUUUGAAGUCAAGAACAAAUUGCUUAAUAGAAUUUUAUGAUGCAAAAUAUUCUAAAAGAAGAAAAAUGUUCACUCCAAACUAAGUCUCCACAAAACAUUGCCAUCCUUAUUAUUUUUAAGCUGCUUGACUGCCAGCAUGCUACUGACAGAGUCUGAAGGAAACUACAUGAAAACGUGGAUAUAUGGGAGCUUACUAGGCUGUCUUUGAGUCAAUAUUAAAGUGUAAAAACUCUGCACUUCCAUUCAGUGGCUUUUCUCUCUUACUGUUCACAUCACAUCAAAUUCUUUCCUAAAUUUUAU
Molecule: long non-coding RNA, 486 nt
Organism: Pseudonaja textilis
Lineage: Eukaryota; Metazoa; Chordata; Lepidosauria; Squamata; Elapidae
Source: RefSeq, a predicted model, not a curated record